AAAAUAUUUAUUUUUCUAUAAAAUAUCUACAUAGAAACAGAUGUUAAGAACAGUUACAACCCAGAUAGCUUACUUUAUGAAAUAUUAUCUUAACUGAAACGUCUAAACAAAAAUGGCACCCAUGUAUAUUUCAUCCCAAUGUCUGACGUACAUUUGAAUCCAAGAACAACUGAAUUAACUGCAAAUCUAAGCAUGAACUUACCAAAUAUGAGUAAGUAUAUAUGAAAAAGUUACUUGAUUCCUAACACAAUAUGCUGAAAAAUGUCUUUUCAAACAUGGCAAUUUAUUUGACUCUUCAGCAUCAGCGAAUUUUGUGCUUUGACAAAAAGGUAGCUUGGAGAUUUACCAUUCCAGACCGAUUUAUGAGCCAUGGUCGAUUCUUAACGAACGAGUUUCGGCUUCCUUCAUAUUUAUACACGGAACUGUAAAACAGGGGUACCAUUUUAAUGUACAACAGUGAAACUUCGUUAUCACGACUAAUUUAUUCUCACUUCUGAUUACCCUUAAAUUUAAAGUAGGUUUCUUAUACUUAAUAUUGCAUGUAGUAUCUCAACAGAGCUCUAUUGGAGGGCUAUUUCUGUGUCGAUAUCUCGAAUAAUAACCGGAUCAUUUCGAAGUCGAGGCUAUUAUAACUUCGUGAUAAUGAAAUUUUACUGUAUGCAGUCAUAAAUGGGGAAUGAUCUAAUGAUAAUUUUCAUACCAAAGUAAAAAUAUAAAAUGACGUAGUACACAAAAGCAUUGUGACGUAGUAUGCAAAGCAGUACUGUAAUUGAUAAUUAUUUACAUAAUGAAAUCGAAAUUUUCAGAUUUGAUUUAGAUUUGUGUCACUUAAAUUAAAUAAAAAGAAAAGAAAAUUACAACUAUGGAAAGAUGCGGCUUUUAUAUAUAUUCAAACAUUUAUCAAUAAUGGUUUUACAUAACACGUAAAAUCAUAUUUAGAUUAUAAAAAUACAAACAAGACUACUUAUAACAAUAUCUAACCUAGAUAUCUAAAAUAUAUUCACUGAGAUAAGUAUAUAAUGAUAAGAAGACUAGAGUUCUUAGCAGAUCACAGACUUUGAUACAUGCACCUUGUCUUUAAUAUUGUCAACUCCACGUAAGUUAUAUGUAGUCAUGUUCCUCCAUCUUCCAAUGACGUCAUGCAAAAGCACUGUGACGUAAUCAAUAAUGCGUCCUUUGACUUAUCACAUGUUGGGACGUAAAUGUACAUUUGGGCGUAAAAGAGUGAAAUAAUCGAGCACACUCAUAUAAGCAAUGACUAAUAUAGUUACACUAUAUAUAAUACACAUAAAAUAUUUAAUGUAUAAAAGUCAUAUUCAUAAGGUCAUAUUUUCUUCUAUGUACUUUAGUUAAUAACUUUUGACAAAUUUUGGAGGUUUCACCAUCGCUCACGAGAAGAAUUAUCUUCUAUUAUGAAAAAGCUCUUUAGUAUUUUAAGUUAAUGACCUUUGGUAAAUUUUGAAGGUUUCAUAGUCGCUUCUGAAAAGAACCUAUCAUUCAAAAUGAAAUCUAUACGCUGUUUAAACAUCGAAAAAAACCUUUGUGAGGUUCUCAUUUUCAUUUAUUUGGAUUUUUCUUUGUUUCCUAUUUUUGAGGUGAGUAAAAUGUAAGAGGUAAAUUGAAGAGGGUCAGUUCAGUGGUAAUAUGGAAGUGGCCUCUAAAUGGCCUUGGCGACUGUGAAGAUCAGAGAUAAGGUUUUAAUUAGUAAUUGAUAGAGUUAACACCAGUGGAGGUUGUUUAAGCCUGUGGUGUAAUUAUUUGGUCUUAAGUAUGUUAGAUGUGAAUAGUUGUCAGUUCCUUCUGGGGAUGAUAUAUUGUACCUUGGUGGUCACUCUCAGAGGCUGGUGUGUAUAUAUAUUAUCAGAGGCUGGGUUAGGUCUGUAUGGGUGGUUUAUAAAUAGGCAUGUGGUCAGUCUCCAGGACUGGUAUAUGCAUAGCUGCCUGGUCAGACUGGGGGACAGGUUUAUGAAUAGGUAUGCGAUCAUCCAGAGGGCUGCAUUGAAAUAGAUUCUCAGCUCUGGUAUAAAUAGGUAUGUGGUCAUUGGGUGGACUGCCUUAAAAUAGCUUCCCGGGCUGGAUAUAAAUAGGUAUGUGGUCAUUGGAUAGGCUGCAUUAAAAUAGAUUCUCAGACUGUGGUAUAAAUAGGUAUGAGGUUAUGAUCUGUUUAUAGUCGGUUCUUAGGGGUUGUAUAUAUAGAACCUGACCAUGAUGUCAUUCUUUUAUUAGACUGUGUUGGUGUUUAAGUUUAGCAUCUAUUGUGUAGUGGGGUGAAGUAAGUGAUGUCACUGGUCAAGAAUAGUUUGCUGGCCAUAUAUAAAGGACUGUUAACUUAGAGCAGGGGCUUUUUGGACAUCGAGUGGUUAGAGGAGUUUUCAGAGUGAGUCUGGAACAAGGAGUUAGUUUUAGAGAGUUUUUAGGGCUAGUGUUUGGAGUUGGUCUUAUUAACAGAGAGAAUUUGGAUUUUAUUAUCUUAGUUUAGAUAGAGAGUAUAGAAAUGUGUAGAGUAGUUUAGUUUAUGGUUUUGAGUCAUAAUUUAGUGAUAUGUAAUUAGGAACUUUACAGAACCUUUUAUUGUGCAAUUAUUUUCUUCAUCUUGGUUACUUCUGAAAGGAAUUGGAGUGGAUUUUAUUUAGAUACUGCUGGAAUUUAUUCAACUUCAGGCUUUCUUAUUUACUUUGUGAAUUAUUUGUGAAUUUAUACGUUCUACUCCUGGAGUAUAUAUUGGUUUGGAAUUAGAUAUAUCUUGAUUGGCAAGUACUUUGAAUGAAAGUCAUAUCUUAAUAAAACUGAAGGAAUUUUA
Long non-coding RNA from Pecten maximus, 2800 nucleotides. RefSeq lists it as uncharacterized. NCBI's taxonomy places the organism in Eukaryota, Metazoa, Mollusca, Bivalvia, Pectinida, Pectinidae. The record is from RefSeq and is a predicted model, not a curated record. The transcript is spliced from 2 exons.